UACGAAGGGUGCAAGCGUUACUCGGAAUUACUGGGCGUAAAGGGUGCGUAGGUGGUUUGUUAAGUCUGCUGUGAAAUCCCCGGGCUCAACCUGGGAAUGGCAGUGGAUACUGGCAAGCUAGAGUGCGGAAGAGGCGAGUGGAAUUCCCGGUGUAGCGGUGAAAUGCGCAGAUAUCGGGAGGAAUACCGGUGGCGAAGGCGGCAUCCUGGACCGGCAUUGACGCUGAGGAGCGAAAGCUAGGGGAGCAAACGGG
Molecule: ribosomal RNA, 253 nt
Filed under: uncultured bacterium
Lineage: Bacteria
Description: partial 16S ribosomal RNA
Rfam family: Bacterial small subunit ribosomal RNA
Source: RNAcentral